UCCAGUCUAGACCCAAGCAUACCUAUACCACCAGACGUGUCCUCAGCCUCCCUCCCUGGUACCCCGAAAACUCCUGCAGCCAAGCCCGGCAGAAAAUCCCUGAGCUCGACACCAGCAGUGACGACGGAUGUCAAAUCUGAAGAGUCUGAUGAGGAUGUAGGAGAUUUAGUUAUCGAUGAAUCUGCAGGGAAAGGUGCAAAACCUGGAAGAAAAAGAAAAAGGCAGGUUUCCGACAUAGCCUCAGAGACACCAGCCAAGAAAGCUGCAUCUUCUGAUGUUAA
Penaeus monodon (black tiger shrimp) is the source of this 281-nucleotide long non-coding RNA. RefSeq lists it as uncharacterized. The transcript is spliced from 3 exons. NCBI's taxonomy places the organism in Eukaryota, Metazoa, Arthropoda, Malacostraca, Decapoda, Penaeidae. The record is from RefSeq and is a predicted model, not a curated record.